GCGAACGCUGGCGGCAGGCUUAACACAUGCAAGUCGAGCGGGCACUUUCGGGUGUCAGCGGCGGACGGGUGAGUAACGCGUGGGAACGUGCCCUCUGGUUCGGAAUAACUCAGGGAAACUUGAGCUGAUACCGGAUACGCCCUUUUGGGGAAAGGCUUGCUGCCGGAGGAUCGGCCCGCGUCUGAUUAGCUAGUUGGUGAGGUAACGGCUCACCAAGGCGACGAUCAGUAGCUGGUCUGAGAGGAUGAUCAGCCACACUGGGACUGAGACACGGCCCAGACUCCUACGGGAGGCAGCAGUGGGGAAUAUUGGACAAUGGGCGCAAGCCUGAUCCAGCCAUGCCGCGUGAGUGAUGGAGGCCUUAGGGUUGUAAAGCUCUUUUAUCCGGGACGAUAAUGACGGUACCGGAGGAAUAAGCCCCGGCUAACUUCGUG
This 434-nucleotide ribosomal RNA is filed under the name uncultured bacterium. RNAcentral's name for it is "partial 16S ribosomal RNA". It matches the Rfam family "Bacterial small subunit ribosomal RNA", at positions 29 to 507 of the family's 1533-position model. The record is from RNAcentral.